GGGUUGUGAGGUUAAGCGACUAAGCGUACACGGUGGAUGCCCUGGCAGUCAGAGGCGAUGAAGGACGUGCUAAUCUGCGAUAAGCGCCGGUAAGGUGAUAUGAACCGUUAUAACCGGCGAUACCCGAAUGGGGAAACCCAGUGUGAUUCGUCACACUAUCAUUAACUGAAUCCAUAGGUUAAUGAGGCGAACCGGGGGAACUGAAACAUCUAAGUACCCCGAGGAAAAGAAAUCAACCGAGAUUCCCCCAGUAGCGGCGAGCGAACGGGGAGGAGCCCAGAGCCUGAAUCAGCAUGUGUGUUAGUGGAAGCGUCUGGAAAGGCGCGCGAUACAGGGUGACAGCCCCGUACACAAAAGCGCAUGUGCUGUGAGCUCGAUGAGUAGGGCGGGACACGUGGUAUCCUGUCUGAAUAUGGGGGGACCAUCCUCCAAGGCUAAAUACUCCUGACUGACCGAUAGUGAACCAGUACCGUGAGGGAAAGGCGAAAAGAACCCCGGCGAGGGGAGUGAAAAAGAACCUGAAACCGUGUACGUACAAGCAGUGGGAGCACAGGUUUACCUGUGUGACUGCGUACCUUUUGUAUAAUGGGUCAGCGACUUAUAUUCUGUAGCAAGGUUAACCGUAUAGGGGAGCCGGAGGGAAACCGAGUCUUAA
This 655-nucleotide ribosomal RNA is filed under the name Salmonella enterica subsp. enterica serovar Typhimurium. RNAcentral describes it as "partial 23S ribosomal RNA". It matches the Rfam family "Bacterial large subunit ribosomal RNA", at positions 1 to 687 of the family's 2925-position model. The record is from RNAcentral. Lineage: Bacteria; Pseudomonadati; Pseudomonadota; Gammaproteobacteria; Enterobacterales; Enterobacteriaceae.